AGGAAUAUUGGACAAUGGGCGGAAGCCUGAUCCAGCCAUGCCGCGUGCAGGAAGAGGGCCUUCGGGUUGUAAACUGCUUUUGUACGGAACGAAACGGUCCGGGUUAAUACCCUGGGCUAAUGACGGUACCGUAAGAAUAAGCACCGGCUAACUCCGUGCCAGCAGCCGCGGUAAUACGGAGGAUCCAAGCGUUGUCCGGAUUUAUUGGGUUUAAAGGGUGCGUAGGCGGACUUAUAAGUCAGAGGUGAAAGCCGGUAGCUUAACUAUCGAAUUGCCUUUGAAACUGUAAGUCUUGAAUUUUGUUGAGGUAGGCGGAAUGUAUCAUGUAGCGGUGAAAUGCAUAGAUAUGAUACAGAACACCGAUUGCGAAGGCAGCUUACUAAGCAAAUAUUGACGCUGAGGCACGAAAGCGUGGGGAUCAAA
Molecule: ribosomal RNA, 423 nt
Filed under: uncultured bacterium
Lineage: Bacteria
Description: bacterial SSU rRNA
Rfam family: Bacterial small subunit ribosomal RNA
Source: RNAcentral